UGCAAAACAUAAAUGCUGCCACCCACUC
Molecule: non-coding RNA, 28 nt
Filed under: Bombyx mori (domestic silkworm)
Lineage: Eukaryota; Metazoa; Arthropoda; Insecta; Lepidoptera; Bombycidae
Source: RNAcentral